RNAcentral lists this ribosomal RNA (504 nucleotides) under uncultured bacterium. Its description in RNAcentral is "bacterial SSU rRNA". It matches the Rfam family "Bacterial small subunit ribosomal RNA", at positions 28 to 524 of the family's 1533-position model. The record is from RNAcentral.
AUUGAACGCUGGCGGAAUGCUUUACACAUGCAAGUCGAGCGGCAGCGCGGGGGCAACCCUGGCGGCGAGCGGCGAACGGGUGAGUAACAUAUCGGAACGUACCCCGUCGUGGGGGAUAACACAGCGAAAGCUGUGCUAAUACCGCAUACGACCUGAGGGUGAAAGCGGGGGAUCGCAAGACCUCGCGCGAUGGGAGCGGCCGAUAUCGGAUUAGCUUGUUGGCGGGGUAAGGGCCCACCAAGGCGAUGAUCGGUAGCUGGUCUGAGAGGACGAUCAGCCACACUGGGACUGAGACACGGCCCAGACUCCUACGGGAGGCAGCAGUGGGGAAUAUUGGACAAUGGGCGCAAGCCUGAUCCAGCAAUGCUGCGUGGGUGAAGACGGCCUGCGGGUUGUAAAGCCCUUUAGGCGGGGGAGGAACGGGCGUCGGUGCGAACAGUGCGGCGUUCUGACGUUACCGCGGAAUAAGCACCGGGCUAACUCCGUGCCAGCAGCCGCGGUAAU